This 408-nucleotide ribosomal RNA is filed under the name uncultured bacterium. RNAcentral describes it as "partial 16S ribosomal RNA". It matches the Rfam family "Bacterial small subunit ribosomal RNA", at positions 28 to 526 of the family's 1533-position model. The record is from RNAcentral.
GACGAACGCUGUCGUCGUGCUUAACACAUGCAAGUCGAACGAAGUGGCGAACGGGUGAGUAACGCGUAAUCAACCUGCCCUUCAGAGGGGGACAACAGUUGGAAACGACUGCUAAUACCGCAUACUGAAGGAGGGGAUUGCGUCUGAUUAGCUAGUUGGCGGGGUAACGGCCCACCAAGGCGAGGAUCAGUAGCCGGUCUGAGAGGAUGAACGGCCACAUUGGGACUGAGACACGGCCCAGACUCCUACGGGAGGCAGCAGUGGGGAAUCUUCCGCAAUGGACGAAAGUCUGACGGAGCAACGCCGCGUGAGUGAUGACGGCCUUCGGGUUGUAAAGGACUUUUGUCAGGGAAGCGGUACCUGAAGAAUAAGCACCGGCUAACUACGUGCCAGCAGCCGCGGUAAUAC